Molecule: transfer RNA, 65 nt
Filed under: Euthalia pratti
Lineage: Eukaryota; Metazoa; Arthropoda; Insecta; Lepidoptera; Nymphalidae
Description: tRNA-Cys
Source: RNAcentral
AGUCUUAUAUUCAAAUGAAUGAUAUAAAAUUGCAAAUUUUAUGGUGUAAAUAAAUACUAAGGCUU